CAGUAGCCACGGUAAAACAGAGGGUGCAAGCGUUAAUCGGAAUUACUGGGCGUAAAGCGCGCGUAGGUGGUUCGCCAAGUUGGAUGUGGAAUCCCCGGGCUCAACCUGGGAACUGCAUCCAAAACUGGCGAGCUAGAGUAUGGUAGAGGGUGGUGGAAUUUCCUGUGUAGCGGUGAAAUGCGUAGAUAUAGGAAGGAACACCAGUGGCGAAGGCGACCACCUGGGCUCAUACUGACACUGAGGUGCGAAAGCGUGGGGAGCAAACAGGAUUAGAUACCCCAGUAGUCCCUGUCUCUUAUAC
RNAcentral lists this ribosomal RNA (301 nucleotides) under uncultured bacterium. RNAcentral's name for it is "partial 16S ribosomal RNA". It matches the Rfam family "Bacterial small subunit ribosomal RNA", at positions 509 to 807 of the family's 1533-position model. The record is from RNAcentral.